Molecule: ribosomal RNA, 950 nt
Filed under: Acidimicrobiia bacterium
Lineage: Bacteria; Bacillati; Actinomycetota; Acidimicrobiia
Description: partial 23S ribosomal RNA
Rfam family: Bacterial large subunit ribosomal RNA
Source: RNAcentral
GGUAAGUUCCGACCUGCACGAAUGGCGUAACGACUUGGGUACUGUCUCAACCAGAGACUCGGCGAAAUUGCAUUGUGAGUAAAGAUGCUCACUACCUGCGACAGGACGGAAAGACCCCGGAACCUUUACUGCAGCUUGACAUUGAUGUCUGGUAUACACUGUGUAGGAUAGGUGGGAGACCGCGAAACGGUGCCGCCAGGUACCGUGGAGUCACCCUUGAAAUACCACCCUUUGUAUGGCGGGCACCUAACUUAGGUCCGUUAUCCGGAUCAAGGACAGUGUCUGGCGGGCAGUUUCACUGGGGCGGUGGCCUCCUAAAGAGUAACGGAGGCGCUCAAUGGUUCCCUCAGUCUGGUCGGCAAUCAGACGACGAGUGCAAUGACACAAGGGAGCUUGACUGUGAGACUUACAAGUCGAACAGGGACGAAAGUCGGACAUAGUGAUCCUACCGUGGCAUGUGGAAGCGCGGUGGCUUAACGGCUAAAAGGUACUCCGGGGAUAACAGGCUCAUACCCCCCAAGAGUCCAUAUCGACGGGGGUGUUUGGCACCUCGAUGUCGGCUCGUCGCAUCCUGGGGCUGAAGCAGGUCCCAAGGGUCGGGCUGUUCGCCCGUUAAAGCGGCACGCGAGCUGGGUUUAGAACGUCGUGAGACAGUUCGGUCCCUAUCCGUCGCAGGCGUAGGAGAUUUGAGAGGAUCUGUCCCUAGUACGAGAGGACCGGGAUGGACGUACCUAUGGUGUGCCAGUUGUCCUGCCAAGGGCACGGCUGGUUAGCUACGUACGGACAGGAUAAGCGCUGAAGGCAUCUAAGUGCGAAGCCCACCUCAAGAUGAGAUCUCCCACCGUUAAUUCGGGUAAGGACCCUGGUAGAACACCAGGUUGAUAGGCCGGAAGUGUAAGCACAGCAAUGUGUUCAGCGGACCGGUACUAAUAGUCCGAGGGCUUGAUUAU